The sequence is a ribosomal RNA, 375 nucleotides long. It matches the Rfam family "Eukaryotic small subunit ribosomal RNA", at positions 582 to 975 of the family's 1831-position model.
AUUCCAGCUCCAAUAGCGUAUAUUAAAGUUGUUGCAGUUAAAAAGCUCGUAGUUGAACUUCUGGCUAUUCUUCCAGCUGGCUUCGGUCGCUGUAAGAGUGGUCAUCCGCUUGGGGACUACGUUCGAACUUCACUGUUCGGCGUAAGGAACAGGCAUUUUACUUAGAAAAAAUUAGAGUGUUCAAGGCAGGCUAUCGCCCUGAAUACACAAGCUUGGAAUAAUGAAAUAGGACUAUUUCCAUUUUAUUGGUUAUUGGAAUUAGUAAUGAUUAAUAGGGACAGUUGGGGACAUUAGUAUUUAAUUGUCAGAGGUGAAAUUCUUGGAUUUAUUAAAGACUAACUUAUGCGAAAGCAUUCACCAAGGAUGUCUUCAUCA